CAUAAGGAAUUUUGGGAAGAACAGCAGAAAUAUAGCUAGAUAUAUAUUUUUUAAAUAUUUUAACUUAGAAAAAGUCCCAAAGAGGGGUGUUUUUUAGGUGUUUUGAAAGCACCUAAGUUGCAUUUUUGUUUUUCUUUUUUUUUUUUUUGUCUAGAGCUACAGAAAAAUUCAUGGGGAGGAAAGUAAGGGUAGGGGGGUUUCCAUUUGGGGAACUUGAUUUGCCAAGCCUUCUUAAUGACGAUUCCACAAAUGUGGCUGCAGCUGUGAGGACAGCUGGAGAGACCUGUUGUCUUUCUGGUGCCCUCUGAUAUUUUGCAAUGUCUCUUCUGAUUGACACCAUGACUGGGUGUUGCUGCUCUGGCCUGGCCCUGGCCGUCAUGAGGGCGUUGCCACUUGGGCAGGGAACUGGAGAGAAGAUUUAAGUUGGUUUGAAGAAGUAAAAUUCCUCCUUGAGCUCAUGAGCAGAGCCAUGGAAACCCGAAGACUUCCCCCCGGGGCUCUGGGGGGCUUCUAACCAGAGAGGAGAACGGGCAACUUCCCCACAUAAAGCUGAAAAACCAGUACAGAGAAGCAGCCUUCCAUUUACCAUUGCAGGAUCGACAUGCAGAUUUGAUCACUGUUUUUUUUUCCCGAAGAAGCAAGCAUGGUGCAUACCCAGGGCAAAGCACCCUGUUUUGCGUUUGAAGCAACCUGCAUCUUCAGUGAAGCUCAGGACGUGGCCGACACUGGCAAACUACCUGAACUGACAGCACCCACAUCCCGAUUCAGACCAACUCAACGUGCACUUAGAGAGUGCCUACUGCGUGCAGGAUCUUCGCUCCGAUCAUUGAGUUCUGUGAUUAAGUCAUACAUGACGUUCUGCAUCUGUUUGGAGAGACAGGAGACGACAGGUCAUUGCAGAGGAAUCUGCAAUAGGAAAAAUGAAAUACUCCUCCAGAUUACACUUGAAAUACAACUCCUCCAGGGAUCUACUUCCACACCGGCCGUGUCGGGUCUGGCCAAGGACAGAGAAACAGUUUACUUUCUUGAAGACUUGGAGGCUCAAAUGGCACAGUGGGUUUUUGUGUGUGUGUGUUUUUGUCUGAUUACAAAAAUAAUGUAUAUUACUUAUAAAAAUAGAUUAGAAAAUAUAUAGACUGGAAAGGCAGCACUUUCUUCUUCAAUAGAACGAGUCCCUGAAGUGUCCUCAUGUUCUUACUUUGUCCAACCUCUCAGCUCAUAGGGCAAUGGCACCUACUGAUGAAAGAGACGGCUCUGUGGUGGGGAGCGGACAGUGCAAUAGACUUAGCAUUGGUAGGCCAGGGUUCAAGUACACGUCUGCCACUCACUAAUAAUGUGCCUUCCCUCAUGCCCCUUAACCUCUCUGCUUGGUUGCCUUAUGAAAGAGGAGUUAAUAAUAACAACACAUAGUUAUAGAGCUGCUGCUCCCCCCCCCCCCCCCCCCCCCUUUCAACACAGCAGGCAGAAUGUACAACGUACAACGUAACUCACUCAGGACGGGGCUGUAGUGAAAGGGAGCUGCCUCGCUGAGGUUACAGCCCCUCUCCUGCCUGGUCAAUGAGGAAGGACAUUGUCUCAAUUUGGGACACCCCUGAAGGGCCAGUCCACCUCCGGAACUCCCGUGGGUUGGUCGAGGCCUUUGUCAGUCAAUCGUAUCACAGUUCAGCCUCUCCCUCUGCCCCAUCCUGCUUCCCUCGCUCCCCAACAGGUGCUGUCCUGAUGGUGUCCCCAGUAAACCUCCUGCUCUCGGUGCCAUCUCCCAGUGUCCCAGGGACCCGCCCUGUCACCACUGCUCACUCCCCACACAUCCCAUGGCCGACAGCCUCCCCUCCUCUCAGCCUCCCCUUAAAAAUCAUCUCCCCCCAUUGCCCUUGUUAACAUGGCACUUUGGUCCCACUCCUACCCCUGAUCCCGCUAACCCUGCUCAACUCUUUUCUUUUCUUCAUGCCACCUUCUAAUAAACUAACUAAUUUGCUAUUUCUUCUGCUUAUUAUUGUCUGUUUUCUCCCCUCCAGGGCGGGGACCUUCGCCUGUUGUGUUCACGGAUGUGUCCCAAGGGCUUAAAACAGCAUCUGGCACCCAGGGGAUGCUCAACUAACAUUUUUUGACGGACAAGUGUACAUAAACAUGCCUAGCAAGGGGGUCUGUCACACGUGGUCGGCACUAAAAGAUGUUGGUAGAACUAAUGAAUGAAUAAAGUGCUGGCACAGGGGAAAAUCACCGUCCCUUCCAUCCUUUGGCCAAUGUAGGAGUUUAACUGAUGGGAAAAGACCUUUUGCGCCACAAAUUAUUUCCAUAUACCUAGAGAGUUUCUCAGCAUUUCCCACCGAGACCUGAGUGGCUGAAGGAAAGGAGAGAAGACUCCUGAGGGGGCCCAGCCCAGGGCCUGCCUCUGGAGAGCAGGUGUUCCGUAAGCUUUUGUGAAUGAACAUUGAACAAGGUCGUGAGAGCAGGGGAGCAAAAAUGCGGUACCUCCAGGGAACUACCAAUAAAAUAAAACUUUAAUGUAAUAAAAUAAACUUGUCUUCUGAGAGUUAAGUUAUAAAACCAGGUCAGAGCAGCACUGAACAAAGGCAGCUUGUGACAAGUGCACCAUUUUCGGUCCUACAUCUGCUCUUUGUUCCCUGGCUCCAUGAGAGGCCAUUCAUUCAGGCUGUCCCCACCUGAAACCCGGGCGUCAUCCUCUCCCUCAGGCCCCAUAUCUCACCGGUACAAAGUCCUGCCCACCCUACGUCUACCCAUCCCUCAAAUUCAGUUCAUUUAAUUGAAAUGAAACCACUUUUGUUCCAACCGUACCACCAUGGUUCUGACUAUCCUCUUACCAGGCAACUUUCUGGUUAUAAUUUGGCUUCCCGGGUUGGUCUGUAGAGCCCUUAUCUAGGUGACAGUCACAUGUCUCCCUGCAAACUAACAAGGGACAUCAGACUUGGGAGCAAGGCUCUUGGGAGACUUCAUGCUCUCAGGUGUUCCUGUGGGCCAGGUUGGCGGUUGCUUUGUACCCUCCCAAACCCCACCUGCAGGCACUGUGGCUCUAGGGGCUUCUGGUCAUCUGCCAGUGACACCCUGUCCUAUUUUACCUGAAAUUUCAAGUUACUCCAGGAAGAUGCAGAAACCAUUGGUGCCCGCGGGGGCCAAGGUAGUAGGGACUGAGGUGAACGAAAAAAAAAAAAGUAAAGGAAGGUGGCAAUAAAUGAGAAGCCAGAAAGGAGAUGGGAGAAGGGGGAUUGAAAAUGUAGUGAUACCUUCCCACCAGGAAAUUGGCUGCAGCCCCAGAGGGAGCCGUCACAGAGGUGGAGUGAGGCAGCCCUGCUUUGCAAAGGGCAGGACUCUUCUGUGGCCGCCUCAGAGGAGAGCGUGACUUUAGAGGCAAGAGUGCUUCCUUCAUUAAUUAACAUUCACAGAACCUCUUCAGGGUGCAUGUUCUUCCCAGAAUGUACAACACCACAAAUCUGUUUGACCGCAGGGGCACCCUAACGAGCUCUGGACUGAAUCCGGGCCCCUGGGUCUCAGCCCCAGCGCUGCAGCUCUCCAACAGCCCGACCUUGGGAUGGUCUCUUUGGACCUUGGUUUCCUCAUCUAUAUUCCUAAUCAGAACUACCACAUGCAAAACUGUUAUAGUUCACAAAGCAUUUUCACAGAUACCAUCUUAUGUGAUCAGUGGAGCCUCAGAUGUGGGGAAUGAUUUUUACACUUCAAUGGAAGACACUGAAGCUAGCAUACAAAGCCUCCCAGCGUUCCCCCACCCCAUCUCUGCCACCCUACGAGUGAGCUCUUCAAUACAGCAAGUGUUAUCUGGAGGCCACACGCCCUUUUCAUAAUCUAGAAAGGACCAAAGGACAGGGGUGGAAGGUGGUGAGCUGGAAGGAUGAAGCACAGAAAGAAAAGGGAGAGAACACUGUUAUUACUGUCUCCCGUGUUCUGUUGCUUUUGGUGACAGGAUACCAGGGGGAACGUGGACCAGUGUGAAAGACGCUAGGCUGCUGCCAGGACCUUGGCUGAGUCUCCUGGGAGGAAAGAUGAAACACGGGAUGGAUGUCAGAGUUCACCCUCCCUGCAGGUCCCACACCACUCCCAGUAGCCCUGCAGACGCUUUCCCUUCACCCUCUCCUCCACACCCUUUCUUUCCGGGUAACUUGCUCCCAGGUUAUUGAUGGCUUCGUUCCCCCACCCAAUUCACGCGAGCCUCUUUCCAGUUCACUGAGUUUUUUGCUUCACCCAGUCUGCUCUGCACGGGGCCCUGUCUCUGUGAAAGGCGGUGGCUGGCACUGAAGGAACGCAGGCUUGAAAGUCCAGUGUGCCCGCUAUUCCCAGGAGAACACCAGCCACAGCCUGUCCUGCCAGGUGAGAGGGGAGGCAGAAACAUGGCUACCUGUAAAAGAAAUAUCUUGGGGCUUGUUGGGCCAUUCCUGCACCUCCCAGUGUGGGUCCCCAGCCACGUUUGCCCUACCCGACCCCCCUGCUGGCCUCAGCUGAUUGGCCCAAGGGUGGACACGUGACCCAAACUAGCCAGUCAUCUCAUCCCUUCUGAGAAUUUAGAAUUAAGACCAAUAGGAGGACAGCCAAUCGGUCUUUGCCUGUGGCUAGAACUAGAACAUGUACUCUCUGGACAGGGGCCUGCCAUGGUCUGCCAUGGAGACAGGGGGCAUAGAAAGUUGUCAGGAGAUGAAGGCGAGGGAGAGAGAGAGAAGCAGGCACUUGAACAGGAGAGAGAAGAGAGGGUGAGCGGAUACCUUCCAGGGUGAGGCACACUUCUAGGUAGUUCCUUCCUGAAGUCUGACCACAUGCCUGCCUUGAGGUUCUGCCUGGAAUGAGACUUCCUUGUAUCCUUAUAAUAAACACCUACAUUUUAAAACCUACUUCCAAUGGGUUUCUGAUACUGGAACCCAAGAGUUUUAAGCAGUGCACCCAAGACCAUGGGGGGCUCCCUUCUGCACUUGGGCAUUCCAUUCACAUCCUUGCCUCCUCCUGGCUCUCAGGAGCCCUGCACUCCACCACAGCACCCCCUCCAAAGCACACAGCCUGUGGGCUUCUCCCCACCUGUGCCAGCCGCACAUUCCCUGACUGAAGUCUUCCCAAGCUUAGGAGGCCCUUUCUUUGGCCUGAUCCCUUCAUUGAACAAGGCGCCUGCACGUGGCCCAAGAACUGGCAAUGUCUCUGAUUGCACCAUCUUUUCAAAGGGGGAUUAAUUGGCCUGAGGGAGUUUCUCUUGCUUACCCAGGGAAUGUAUUCCAUGAUGAUAAUCGACAUCUGCUGGAAUGUUCUGCCAGCCUGGCCCUGGGCUAUACAUUUGAUGUACAAUUUCUAUCAAGAGGCAAUGAGGGGGCUUCCCUGGUGGCACACUGGUUAAGA
Long non-coding RNA from Aethalodelphis obliquidens (Pacific white-sided dolphin), 5349 nucleotides. RefSeq lists it as uncharacterized. The transcript is spliced from 4 exons. The record is from RefSeq and is a predicted model, not a curated record. Lineage: Eukaryota; Metazoa; Chordata; Mammalia; Artiodactyla; Delphinidae.